GUACAGAGGGUUGCCAAACCGUAAGGUGGAGCUAAUCCCUUAAAGCUACUCUCAGUUCGGAUUGUAGGCUGAAACUCGCCUACAUGAAGCUGGAGUUACUAGUAAUCGCAGAUCAGAAUGCUGCGGUGAAUGCGUUCCCGGGUCUUGUACACACCGCCCGUCACACCACGGGAGUUGGAGACGCCCGAAGCCGAUUAUCUAACCUUUUGGAAGAAGUCGUCGAAGGUGGAAUCAAUAACUGGGGUGAAGUCGUAACAAGGUAGCCGUAUCGGAAGGUGCGGCUGGAUC
RNAcentral lists this ribosomal RNA (288 nucleotides) under Clostridioides difficile. Its description in RNAcentral is "partial 16S ribosomal RNA". It matches the Rfam family "Bacterial small subunit ribosomal RNA", at positions 1237 to 1524 of the family's 1533-position model. Lineage: Bacteria; Bacillati; Bacillota; Clostridia; Peptostreptococcales; Peptostreptococcaceae. The record is from RNAcentral.